Molecule: unclassified non-coding RNA, 240 nt
Filed under: soil metagenome
Description: partial contains 5.8S ribosomal RNA, internal transcribed spacer 2, and large subunit ribosomal RNA
Source: RNAcentral
AACAAGGCGUACCUGCGGACCUGCGGAAGGAUCAUUACAGAGUUCGUGCCCUCGCGGGUAGAUCUCCCACCCUUGUGUAUUCUCUACAUCUUGUUGCUUUGGCAGGCCGUUGGUUCGCCAACCACCGGCUCGCGGGCUGGUGCGUGCCUGCCAGAGGACCUCUCAAACUCGGUUUGUUAGUGUCGUCUGAGUACCAUAACAAUCGUUAAAACUUUUAGCAAUGGAUCUCAGAUCGGAAGA